Long non-coding RNA from Pecten maximus, 2260 nucleotides. RefSeq lists it as uncharacterized. The record is from RefSeq and is a predicted model, not a curated record. NCBI's taxonomy places the organism in Eukaryota, Metazoa, Mollusca, Bivalvia, Pectinida, Pectinidae. The transcript has 2 exons.
ACCUGUUCUUACCUUACGAGAUAGGUGGUAGGCUGGUCUUAACCUGUUCUCACCUUACGAGAUAGGCGGUAGGCUGGUCUUAACCUGUUCUUACCUUACGAGAUAGGUGGUAGGCUGGUCUUAACCUGUUCUCACCUUACGAGAUAGGCGGUAGGCUGGUCUUAACCUGUUCUUACCUUACGAGAUAGGCGGUAGACUGGUCUUAACCUGUUCUCACUUUACGAGAUAGGCGGUAGACUGGUCUUAACCUGUUCUUACCUUACGAGAUAGGUGGUAGGCUGGUCUUAACCUGUUCUCACCUUACGAGAUAGGCGGUAGGCUGGUCUUAACCUGUUCUUACCUUACGAGAUAGGCGGUAGACUGGUCUUAACCUGUUCUCACUUUACGAGAUAGGUGGUAGGUUAGUCUUAGCCUGUUCUCACUGUACGAGAUAGGCGGUAGACUGGUCUUAACCUGUUCUCACCAUACGAGAUAGGUGGUAGGCUGGUCUUAACCUGUUCUCAUCAUACGAGAUAGGCUGGUCUUAAACUGUUCUUACUAUACGAGAUAGGCGGUAGGUUAGUCUUAACCUGUUUUCACCGUACGAGAUAGACGAUAGGUUUGCCUUAACCUGUUCUCACUGUACGAGAUAGGCGGUAGACUAGUCUUAACCUGUUCUCAUCAUACGAGAUAGGCGGUAGGCUAGUCUUAGCCUGUUCUCACUGUGCGAGAUAGGUGGUAGGUUAGUCUUAACCUGUUCUCACUUUACGAGAUAGGCGGUAGACUAGUCUUAACCUGUUCUCAUCGUACGAGAUAGGCGGUAGGUUAGUCUUACCCUGCUCUCACUAUAUGAGAUAGGUGGUAGGUUAGUCUUAACCUGUUCUCACCAUACGAGAUAGGCGGUAGACUAGUCUUAACCUGUUCUCAUCAUACGAGAUAGGCGGUAGGCUGGUCUUAACCUGUUCUCACCAUACGAGAUAGGCGGUAGGCUGGUCUUAACCUGUUCUCACUGUACGAGAUAGGCGGUAGGCUGGUCUUAACCUGUUCUCAUUUUACGAGAUAGGCGGUAGACUAGUCUUAACCUGUUCUCACCAUACGAGAUAGGUGGUAGGCUAGUCUUAACCUGUUCUUACCUUACGAGAUAGGUGGUAGGCUAGUCUUAACCUGUUCUCACCAUACGAGAUAGGCGGUAGGCUAGUCUUAACCUGUUCUUACUAUACGAGACAGAUGAUAUGCUGGCUGAGCUCACAAGAUAGGUGGUAGGCUGGUCAGAAACAGUGUAUAUUUGUUAUAUAAACGUUGUCAGUCCAUCAAUCGGCUACAAUUCUAUGAUCACUGUCUGAUAUAUACAUGUAUAUUAAUUAAUGACAUAGACUGAUAUUAAACACAUGUCUAUCAGCGCUUAAAUGGAAACUACAUCUGCCCAUCACAGUCCUACUAUUGUCACGGCGCUGGUCGCUGUAACAAUGGGGACAUUCACAAUACCAUAUUGUACGAUUUACCUCCACAUUCUUGUUCAUUCAUGUUUAGAUCGUCUACACAUUGGGACAAGUGAGCUUAUAUCGUGAUGCGGCCACCGUCGUUCAUCUGAUAUCAACAAUGUCCUUUAAACGUUGAACACAUAUAACCAAGAGACAUAGGGCCAUGGUAUUUGGUUCUUAGCAUGCUUGGAUGAAGUACUACAGAUUUUAAAAUGACCUUGACCUAUAUACAAGAUCUCGGUGGUCAAACGUGGUCAAAUCGGGAAAUUAUUCAUUUUCUUUUUUUUUGUUUUCGAAUUGUUAUAACACAUAUAACAAUCAUUGAAAAAGAAAAUGUAUGAAUUUGAGUUCCACAAUUUUUUUUUUACCUAAAUCAGUUUUGAAAUUUAGAAAUUCAAAUUAUCCACCAAACUGAUGAGCUGCAGAAUAGGUGAACGACACAGGCCCAUUGGACUUCUUGUAUAUUCCUCUCAAGUCUAGCUAUCCAGCCAUAUGAUCAUCUUUUCAUAAUCACUUUCAUAAUCCAUCGUCGAUUAUGCUGAAAUGUAGAUAACCCAAGUACACUGUACUUAGAGUUACCGUAGUAGAACACUAGAUUGUGGCAUCAUAGUAAAACUACGUAUAUCGCCCUGUGAUCAGGUAGGUUCUGAUGUUUCCUGCAAAAUAUAAUUACCUGUGUUUAAUAUACCUUUCUCAUUCCCUCUUAUACCGAAUUACCUUUAUCUCAAUUAUCAGCGUUCUGAUCAUUUGUUGUGAAAACUUGAGUACACCAAUAAAAGCAUGUUGAUGCCUGCAGUAAA